GCAAUAAGAGCGGCCAGAUCAUGGGAGCAGAGAAGCAGAAAACAUCACUAAAGCUGUGUUCACCUGUGAUUUGAUUUGUUAAUUACUUUUAAUAACUCUCUGCCAUUUGGAGGCCAUCAAGUGGUUCAUUUCUUUUCAUCUAAGUUAUCCUUCUUGUUUCAUGUAGCUUCAAAAAACUGACCUUACCCUUUUUUUUAAAAUCUUCUUCAAAUAAUUUUCUAUGGAUGUCCUGAGACAUUGAGGAAUGUCUUAGAAGGAAAUACCUUCUUGAAAGAAUGCAUAUCCCAGUAUUGGGCAUUAAAUGAUUAAAUAACCAUCUCUGAGCUUCCUCUAAACAAGUUGUCAGGAAGAAAUAUAGAGGUGUUGUCCAAGAACCAUCCUGGCAUCCUUGUUACUGCCCAAUAAGGAAUGUGCCUUCAUGUUAGAUCUCAAAUGGGAAGUGAUUGAACCCACCAAAGGGAUUCACCAAAAGCCUUUAAAACAUCCUUCCCAAACCAACAGCAGAAAGAGACACACAAAUUACUGCAAGACAUCUAUGACUAUAUACAUACAUACAACACAGUAUCCUGAAUCCUGAAGUUAUAGCAAUGCUCCUUAGCUAAAAGCACCUCAAGAAGAGAAGAGGAUUUUUCAGAAUCUCUGUGAUGUGCCCCUUGGGGAUGGGUAAUAUGUCCUUUCCUACUUCACCCCAACCCUAUCUCCAUUUCUGUAAGAAUCACUACCACAGAGAGCCACUGCUACAAAUGGAAAAGAGGUUAGUCUUUCAAAUUGCUCAGACCAAAAAUAACAGUAAUAAUAAUAACGUUGAGAAACAUUCUACACUGGAGAAACAAGAGCUGCUGUGUCACCAACCUGAAUACGAGGUAGUGCUUUAAAACAGGGGCACCCUGUUUUAAAGGUACGAGGCAAGAUUAUGGUGCCCCAGCUGGAAGGAAUCAGGCACUAUAUCUUCCCUAGCAAACUAUCUAAUUGGAAGCUACCUAUGUCAGAUGCAAGUGGCAUCAAUACUUACUUCCUCAAGUAAAUGAUACACUGCUGUUGUUUAAAGAAGCUGGACUCUGUUGCUUCAGAACUUGUUGGAAACCAUCCAAACAAAACCAAGUUUAUCAAAGGUCAAACUAAUGUCUUUAUGCCCCAGCCCACAGCAUACUCAAGGCACUCUGGAAACAGAUGAGUGACCUCCUCACAAGCCUGCAAACAGACUGAG
This 1207-nucleotide long non-coding RNA is filed under the name Homo sapiens (human). RNAcentral describes it as "HSALNT0060668". The record is from RNAcentral. Lineage: Eukaryota; Metazoa; Chordata; Mammalia; Primates; Hominidae.